GAAAGCCGUGUGCGGGAGAACUGCAUGCACGGUUUGAGGCGGCGGGGACUGGAAACGGAGCGUUACGCAACCGCGC
RNAcentral lists this non-coding RNA (76 nucleotides) under Actinocrispum wychmicini. Lineage: Bacteria; Bacillati; Actinomycetota; Actinomycetes; Pseudonocardiales; Pseudonocardiaceae. The record is from RNAcentral.